Long non-coding RNA from Chiroxiphia lanceolata (lance-tailed manakin), 496 nucleotides. RefSeq lists it as uncharacterized. The record is from RefSeq and is a predicted model, not a curated record. The transcript is spliced from 2 exons. Lineage: Eukaryota; Metazoa; Chordata; Aves; Passeriformes; Pipridae.
UCGCAGACACGCGCACCCGGGGCCCGCGUGGCUGCUCCGAAUUCGCUCCUUAAAUCAAAUAAAAUUUUUCUCCCUUUGAAAUAAACUCCGAGUGAGCAGCACGGCCUGGCCGGGGUGUGUGUGGGGGUCCCUCCACCGGCCGAGCAGCCCCCAAAAACCGCGCGGUUCCCGCAGCAUAUAUCGGGAAUAACCCGGUACUUCGGGGACACGCGGGGGGCCGGGGCAGGGGCCGGACGGCUCCAGCUCCGGUCCGAAGGAGUGUUUUAAAGCUACCGACGACCAACGAGACGAAGCGUUUUCCCUGCAGAAAUCAUCACUCCAGCUCCGAGACCCUCUGGCAUCACUUCCCCGCCCGCCAGCAAGGACGGCGGCUUCGCCCACCAGUUUAUGCAAAAAAAAAAAAAAAAAAAAAAAAAAAAAGGUGGAUUAUUAUUUUUUCCCUCCUUUUCCCGAAGUAACAAUUAAAGAAAGUGGGGACCUUUGCCUUCUGCUGGGA